This is a non-coding RNA of Arachis ipaensis, 71 nucleotides long. NCBI's taxonomy places the organism in Eukaryota, Viridiplantae, Streptophyta, Magnoliopsida, Fabales, Fabaceae. The record is from RefSeq and is a predicted model, not a curated record.
AUAAUGAUGAUAAGAAUUAUAGCUCAAAUGGCAUAGUCUCCCCAUACUCAUUUAAGAAGUCGUGGGUUCGA